RNAcentral lists this ribosomal RNA (468 nucleotides) under uncultured bacterium. RNAcentral's name for it is "partial 16S ribosomal RNA". It matches the Rfam family "Bacterial small subunit ribosomal RNA", at positions 28 to 507 of the family's 1533-position model. The record is from RNAcentral.
GACGAACGCUGGCGGCGUGCUUAACACAUGCAAGUCGAACGGAAAGGCCCUGCUUUUGUGGGGUGCUCGAGUGGCGAACGGGUGAGUAACACGUGAGUAACCUGCCCUUGACUUUGGGAUAACUUCAGGAAACUGGGGCUAAUACCGGAUAGGAGCUCCUGCUGCAUGGUGGGGGUUGGAAAGUUUCGGCGGUUGGGGAUGGACGCGCGGCUUAUCAGCUUGUUGGUGGGGUAGGGGCUUACCAAGGCUUGGACGGGUAGCCGGCCUGAGAGGGUGACCGGCCACAUUGGGACUGAGAUACGGCCCAGACUCCUACGGGAGGCAGCGGUGGGGAAUAUUGCACAAUGGGAGGAAGCCUGAUGCAGAAACGCCGCGUGCGGGAUGACGGCCUUCGGGUUGUAAACCGCUUUCGCCUGUGACGAAGCGUGAGUGACGGUAAUGGGUAAAGAAGCACCGGCUAACUACGUG